Molecule: ribosomal RNA, 497 nt
Filed under: uncultured bacterium
Lineage: Bacteria
Description: partial 16S ribosomal RNA
Rfam family: Bacterial small subunit ribosomal RNA
Source: RNAcentral
GAUGAACGCUGGCGGCGUGCCUAAUACAUGCAAGUCGAGCGAACGGACGAGAAGCUUGCUUCUCUGAUGUUAGCGGCGGACGGGUGAGUAACACGUGGAUAACCUACCUAUAAGACGGGGAUAACUUCGGGAAACCGGAGCUAAUACCGGAUAAUAUUUUGAACCGCAUGGUUCAAAAGUGAAAGACGGUCUUGCUGUCACUUAUAGAUGGAUCCGCGCUGCAUUAGCUAGUUGGUAAGGUAACGGCUUACCAAGGCAACGAUGCAUAGCCGACCUGAGAGGGUGAUCGGCCACACUGGAACUGAGACACGGUCCAGACUCCUACGGGAGGCAGCAGUAGGGAAUCUUCCGCAAUGGGCGAAAGCCUGACGGAGCCACGCCGCGUGAGUGAUGAAGGUCUUCGGAUCGUAAAACUCUGUUAUUAGGGAAGAACAUAUGUGUAAGUAACUGUGCACAUCUUGACGGUACCUAAUCAGAAAGCCACGGCUAACUACGUG